AGCUGAGCUAUCCCGACCAUUCCCGGUGUAGUAACCCAUACUCAUUUUUUUUUUAUUUUAGUCGAUGACUGAGGUCUAUGUCAAUUAAAGGUAAAGGGGGGAUUACAAAUUUUUCACCAAUUACUUCAAUUUCUUUGAUCUUCAAAAAGACCCCUUUCUAUUUCCAAGUUUUAGUAUUCGUAAAACUAUUGAUUAUGAAUAUGAAUCGUUUAAAUCGGGAUUCUUUGCUAAAAUUGGCUGUGUAUUCUAUAUAACAUGGGAGAAGAGAAAGUCAUUUACACACAACUACGUUUGUAAAAGAAUCAGAAAAAAAAAGCAAUUUGUAACCGAAAGCGGGGAGGGUCGGAUAAAGAUUUUGGGAGUCAAAUAAGUUUGUUUGGGGAUAGAGGGACUUACGAACCCUCACGAUUUUGAAAGUGAACGGAUUUUCCUCUUACGAUAAAUUUCAUUGUUGCCGGUAUUGACAUGUAGAAGGGGACUCUAUCUUUAUUCUUGUUCGAUUGAUCAGUUCUUUAAAAAGUUUAUCGGAUAGACUACUAUGGAGUGAAUGAUUUGAUGAAUCAAAAUUAUAUUUUUUCUUCAAUGCCGAAUGAAUUCACACCAAUUUUGAUAUUUUUCAUAUAAAAAAAUACAUCUAGAGAUUCGGUCCACCAUUACUCAUUUGCUAUUUGAUAUAGUAUUCAAUAGAUAGGUUUGUCCUUGAUCCUUUCUGACGUUUUGGUGGAAAGAUUCCUCUACCAGUGGCCCAAUUUGUUAGAACAGCUUCCAUUGAGUCUCUGGACCUAUCCUUUUUUUUCGUUUUCUGAACCUUUCAUUUGAUAAAACAGGAUUUGGCUCAGGAUUGCCCUUUUUUUUUUAAUUCCGGGGUUUCCCUGAAUUUGAAAGUUAUCACUUAGUAGGUUUCCAUAC
Molecule: unclassified non-coding RNA, 909 nt
Filed under: Utricularia pubescens
Lineage: Eukaryota; Viridiplantae; Streptophyta; Magnoliopsida; Lamiales; Lentibulariaceae
Description: partial contains tRNA-Leu (trnL) gene and trnL-trnF spacer region
Source: RNAcentral